CGCGGGGUGGAGCAGCCUGGUAGCUCGUCGGGCUCAUAACCCGAAGGUCGUCGGUUCAAAUCCGGCCCCAGCAACCA
This 77-nucleotide transfer RNA is filed under the name Escherichia coli. RNAcentral's name for it is "tRNA-Met". It matches the Rfam family "tRNA". From Rfam's summary of the family: Transfer RNA (tRNA) molecules are approximately 80 nucleotides in length. Their secondary structure includes four short double-helical elements and three loops (D, anti-codon, and T loops). Further hydrogen bonds mediate the characteristic L-shaped molecular structure. tRNAs have two regions of fundamental functional importance: the anti-codon, which is responsible for specific mRNA codon recognition, and the 3' end, to which the tRNAs corresponding amino acid is attached (by aminoacyl-tRNA synthetases). tRNAs cope with the degeneracy of the genetic code in two manners: having more than one tRNA (with a specific anti-codon) for a particular amino acid; and 'wobble' base-pairing, i.e. permitting non-standard base-pairing at the 3rd anti-codon position. Lineage: Bacteria; Pseudomonadati; Pseudomonadota; Gammaproteobacteria; Enterobacterales; Enterobacteriaceae. The record is from RNAcentral. RNAcentral also lists the same sequence under 1 other name.